UCCGGUUUGGCACCGGCAGUCUCCCUAGAGUCCCCGGCAUGACCCGCUGGUAACUAGGGACGGGGGUUGCGCUCGUUGCGGGACUUAACCCAACAUCUCACGACACGAGCUGACGACAGCCAUGCACCACCUGUGAACCUGCCCCGAAGGGAAGGUGUGUUUCCACACCGGUCAGGUACAUGUCAAACCCAGGUAAGGUUCUUCGCGUUGCGUCGAAUUAAACCACAUGCUCCGCUGCUUGUGCGGGUCCCCGUCAAUUCCUUUGAGUUUUAAUCUUGCGACCGUACUCCCCAGGCGGUUCACUUAAUGCGUUAGCUGCGUCAGCGAGAAGUAAACUUCCCACCAACUAGUGAACAUCGUUUACGGUGUGGACUAC
Molecule: unclassified non-coding RNA, 376 nt
Filed under: uncultured bacterium
Lineage: Bacteria
Description: contains 16S-23S intergenic spacer region
Source: RNAcentral